AACGAACGCUGGCGGCAUGCCUAAUACAUGCAAGUCGAACGAGAUCUUCGGAUCUAGUGGCGCACGGGUGCGUAACGCGUGGGAAUCUGCCCUUGGGUUCGGAAUAACGUCGGGAAACUGACGCUAAUACCGGAAGAUGACGUAAGUCCAAAGAUUUAUCGCCCAAGGAUGAGCCCGCGUAGGAUUAGCUAGUUGGUGAGGUAAAGGCUCACCAAGGCGACGAUCCUUAGCUGGUCUGAGAGGAUGAUCAGCCACACUGGGACUGAGACACGGCCCAGACUCCUACGGGAGGCAGCAGUAGGGAAUAUUGGACAAUGGGCGCAAGCCUGAUCCAGCAAUGCUGCGUGAGUGAUGAAGGCCUUAGGGUUGUAGAGCUCUUUUACCCGGGAUGAUAAUGACAGUACCGGGAGAAUAAGCCCCGGCUAACUCCGUGCCAGCCGCCGCCGUAA
RNAcentral lists this ribosomal RNA (449 nucleotides) under uncultured bacterium. RNAcentral's name for it is "partial 16S ribosomal RNA". It matches the Rfam family "Bacterial small subunit ribosomal RNA", at positions 29 to 523 of the family's 1533-position model. The record is from RNAcentral.